UACGGGGGGGGCAAGCGUUGUUCGGAAUUACUGGGCGUAAAGGGCUCGUAGGCGGCUCGUUAAGUCGGAUGUGAAAUCCCCAGGCUCAACCUGGGAAUGGCAUCCGAGACUGGGGGGCUUGAAUCCGGGAGAGGGAUGCAGAAUUCCAGGUGUAGCGGUGAAAUGCGUAGAUAUCUGGAGGAAUACCGGUGGCGAAGGCGGCAUCCUGGACCGGCAUUGACGCUGAGGAGCGAAAGCUAGGGGAGCAAACGGG
This 253-nucleotide ribosomal RNA is filed under the name uncultured bacterium. RNAcentral's name for it is "partial 16S ribosomal RNA". It matches the Rfam family "Bacterial small subunit ribosomal RNA", at positions 524 to 776 of the family's 1533-position model. The record is from RNAcentral.